UGUUCCACUCCAUCAAAAUGGUUAUGUGAAAGACAAAAACCUCUUCAUCUUCACAAUCACCAUCAUGCCUGGGCUUCAUCGCUUACUCUGCACCAGAGAGGCUUGGAGCUUGCUGGGCAGACGAUCCACAGUCCUUUUUCAGAGUCAUCCUGAUUAUUUUUAUUUGAAGAAUUCAGUUGCUGAUACGUAAGUGGAAGCAUACCUGCUGUUAACUAAGGCUUUCCAAGAUCUGCAUGUUUGGAUGAGAGCUAAAAACAAGGUUAGAAGCAAGGGGAUGCCGAGUGCUGAUGCUGCAAGCUGAAAGACCACUGUGUUACUGCUGACACUGGUGAUUUUCUUUCCAAAGGUCUUCUGCAAUCCUGAGUUUUUUUCCCUGUAAUCCAUUGUACAUGACAUAACUCCUCUGCACUAGGCUGUUCACCUUUUUGCUGUAUGCUACUGGGCUAUAUAUAUGUGUAUCUCAGAGAGUGAAUGGAGUCUGUUGUGUCUCUCAGACCUGUUCUUCAAAGCUUGCUAUUUGAAAUGCCUAGACGUCACCAGGCCUGUAAACACACUCUUGCA
Molecule: long non-coding RNA, 561 nt
Filed under: Gallus gallus (chicken)
Lineage: Eukaryota; Metazoa; Chordata; Aves; Galliformes; Phasianidae
Description: lncRNA (ENSGALG00010005009.1)
Source: RNAcentral